RNAcentral lists this ribosomal RNA (423 nucleotides) under uncultured bacterium. RNAcentral's name for it is "bacterial SSU rRNA". It matches the Rfam family "Bacterial small subunit ribosomal RNA", at positions 356 to 775 of the family's 1533-position model. The record is from RNAcentral.
GAGGAAUAUUGGUCAAUGGGCGCAAGCCUGAACCAGCCAUCCCGCGUGCAGGAAGACGGCCCUAUGGGUUGUAAAUUGCUUUUCCAGGGGGAGAAACUUGCGCACGUGUUGCGCAAUUGACGGUACCCUGGGAAUAAGCAUCGGCUAACUCCGUGCCGGCAGCCGCGGUAAUACGGAGGAUGCGAGCGUUAUCCGGAUUCAUUGGGUUUAAAGGGUGCGUAGGCGGACUAUUAAGUCAGUGGUGAAAUCCUGCAGCUUAACUGCAGAACUGCCAUUGAUACUGAUAGCCUUGAGUUUGGUUAAGGUAAGCGGAAUGUGUAAUGUAGCGGUGAAAUGCUUAGAUAUUACACAGAACACCAAUUGCGUAGGCAGCUUACUGAGCCGACACUGACGCUGAGGCACGAAAGCGUGGGGAUCGAACAG